AGUCGAACGCUUCUUUCCUCCCGAGUGCUUGCACUCAAUUGGAAAGAGGAGUGGCGGACGGGUGAGUAACACGUGGGUAACCUACCCAUCAGAGGGGGAUAACACUUGGAAACAGGUGCUAAUACCGCAUAACAGUUUAUGCCGCAUGGCAUAAGAGUGAAAGGCGCUUUCGGGUGUCGCUGAUGGAUGGACCCGCGGUGCAUUAGCUAGUUGGUGAGGUAACGGCUCACCAAGGCCACGAUGCAUAGCCGACCUGAGAGGGUGAUCGGCCACACUGGGACUGAGACACGGCCCAGACUCCUACGGGAGGCAGCAGUAGGGAAUCUUCGGCAAUGGACGAAAGUCUGACCGAGCAACGCCGCGUGAGUGAAGAAGGUUUUCGGAUCGUAAAACUCUGUUGUUAGAGAAGAACAAGGACGUUAGUAACUGAACGUCCCCUGACGGUAUCUAACCAGAAAGCCACGGCUAACUACGUGCCA
RNAcentral lists this ribosomal RNA (479 nucleotides) under Enterococcus faecalis. RNAcentral's name for it is "bacterial SSU rRNA". It matches the Rfam family "Bacterial small subunit ribosomal RNA", at positions 60 to 510 of the family's 1533-position model. The record is from RNAcentral. Lineage: Bacteria; Bacillati; Bacillota; Bacilli; Lactobacillales; Enterococcaceae.